RNAcentral lists this ribosomal RNA (491 nucleotides) under uncultured bacterium. RNAcentral describes it as "partial 16S ribosomal RNA". It matches the Rfam family "Bacterial small subunit ribosomal RNA", at positions 29 to 507 of the family's 1533-position model. The record is from RNAcentral.
GUGAACGCUAGCGGUAGGCCUAACACAUGCCAGUCGAACGGCAGCACCGUAAGAGCUUGCUCUUACGGGUGGCGAGUGGCGGACGGGUGAGGAAUACAUCGGAAUCUACUUUUUCGUGGGGGAUAACGUAGGGAAACUUACGCUAAUACCGCAUACGACCUACGGGUGAAAGCAGGGGAUCUUCGGACCUUGCGCGAUUGAAUGAGCCGAUGUCGGAUUAGCUAGUUGGCGGGGUAAAGGCCCACCAAGGCGACGAUCCGUAGCUGGUCUGAGAGGAUGAUCAGCCACACUGGAACUGAGACACGGUCCAGACUCCUACGGGAGGCAGCAGUGGGGAAUAUUGGACAAUGGGCGCAAGCCUGAUCCAGCCAUACCGCGUGGGUGAAGAAGGCCUUCGGGUUGUAAAGCCCUUUUGUUGGGAAAGAAAAGCAGCAGGUUAAUACCCCGCUGUUCUGACGGUACCCAAAGAAUAAGCACCGGCUAACUUCGUG